RNAcentral lists this long non-coding RNA (544 nucleotides) under Numida meleagris (helmeted guineafowl). Its description in RNAcentral is "lncRNA (ENSNMEG00000015030.1)". Lineage: Eukaryota; Metazoa; Chordata; Aves; Galliformes; Numididae. The record is from RNAcentral.
AAAAUUAUUCACAUUUUUAAUGUUGAUGUUUAUAAUUUAUUCCUUUUCUCCUUUUGGUGUGUUGUAAAUUCAUAUAACAAUGCUUCUUACAGGUUCAUCAUCACAGAGAAGCAUUUGAAUUUUAUCUUUUUUUCAAAACUGAACUGCUUUCCCACUACUUUCAACUUGAAACAAACUUUGGCCGGCUAGCUGUGCUGCUAUGGAAGUCUUUUGUAUCCAUCUCACUCAGUGGGAAACAGCAGGAUCAAACUUCUCUGCAAAAGCAGUUUCAACAUUGUUUAACCAUGCUGCAGUUCCUCCGAGUAGCAUUUUGUUUGCUGCAUUUUGCCACAUUUCUCUGCCUGAUGCUAAUUUACACAUGCUUGAGAGUCACAGCCUACCUUUCAAGGAGUUUGGCCGUACCACAAUUUAUAAACUCAUCAUGCUUAUGAAGAGUGGAAAUUUCCUGAAACUUAUAUCUAUCUAUGUGGCCUGUGCUUUUGACUGAUUUUACUGUUAGACUGAUACCUAUUUUAAGAACAAAUAAAAUUUAUGGCAAUUUACA